UACGUAGGGGGCAAGCGUUGUCCGGAUUUAUUGGGCGUAAAGAGCGUGUAGGCGGCCAGAUAGGUCAGCUGUGAAAACUCGAGGCUCAACCUCGAGAUGUCGGCUGAAACCAUCUGGCUAGAGUCCGGAAGAGGAGAAUGGAAUUCCCGGUGUAGCGGUGAAAUGCGCAGAUAUCAGGAGGAACACCGAUGGCGAAGGCAGGUCUCUGGGCCGAUACUGACGCUGAGGAGCGAAAGCGUGGGGAGCGAACAGG
Molecule: ribosomal RNA, 253 nt
Filed under: uncultured bacterium
Lineage: Bacteria
Description: partial 16S ribosomal RNA
Rfam family: Bacterial small subunit ribosomal RNA
Source: RNAcentral